RNAcentral lists this unclassified non-coding RNA (254 nucleotides) under uncultured Hypocreales. RNAcentral's name for it is "sequence contains ITS2". The record is from RNAcentral. Lineage: Eukaryota; Fungi; Ascomycota; Sordariomycetes; Hypocreales.
AACGCACAUUGCGCCCACCAGCACUCUGGUGGGCAUGCCCGUCUGAGCGUCAUUUCAACCCUCAGGGCCCGUCCGCGGGACCUGGCGUUGGGGAUCAGCCUAACGGCUGGCCCUGAAAUCUAGUGGCGGUCCUUCCACGACCUCCCCUGUGCAGUAGUGAUACCUCGCAGCGGGAUAGUGGUCCGGCCACGCCGUAAAACCCCCUACUUCUCAAGGUUGACCUCAGAUCGGGUAGGAAUACCCGCUGAACUUAA